ACCAUCUAUGUCAGCAAAGUGCA
RNAcentral lists this non-coding RNA (23 nucleotides) under Arabidopsis thaliana (thale cress). Lineage: Eukaryota; Viridiplantae; Streptophyta; Magnoliopsida; Brassicales; Brassicaceae. The record is from RNAcentral.